ACCAAUUCUGGGGGAUAAUUGGUUCCUCUUGGCAUAAUGGCUCGGACGCAAUAAUAAUUGUGGCUAUCCUGAUCAAUGGCGAUUCAAUGCCAUUUUGAUCCUGGAAACACCUCGUACAUUU
This 121-nucleotide small nucleolar RNA is filed under the name Olea europaea subsp. europaea. The record is from RNAcentral. Lineage: Eukaryota; Viridiplantae; Streptophyta; Magnoliopsida; Lamiales; Oleaceae.